GCUACGGGUGGCAGCAGUGAGGAAUAUUGGUCAAUGGGCGGGAGCCUGAACCAGCCAAGUCGCGUGAGGGAAGACGGUCCUAUGGAUUGUAAACCUCUUUAGGCGGGGAGCAAUGCCGGGCACGCGUGCCCGGAGGGAGAGUACCCGCAGAAUAAGCAUCGGCUAACUCCGUGCCAGCAGCCGCGGUAAAACGGAGGAUGAGAGCGUUAUGCGGAUUUAUUGGGGUUAAGGGGUGAGUAGGCGGAUUGUGAAGUAAGGGGUAAAAUGUACGGGCUCAACCCGGGCCGGCCGUUGAAACUGGGGAUGUUGAGUGUGCGAGAAGUAUGCGGAAUGCGUGUUGUAGCGGUGAAAUGCAUAGAUAUCACGCAGAACUCCGAUUGCGAAGGCAGCAUACCGGCGCCCGACUGACGCUGAGGCACGAAAGCGUGGGGAUCGAUCAGGAUUAGAUACCCGAGUAGUC
Molecule: ribosomal RNA, 460 nt
Filed under: uncultured bacterium
Lineage: Bacteria
Description: partial 16S ribosomal RNA
Rfam family: Bacterial small subunit ribosomal RNA
Source: RNAcentral